GACGAACGCUGGCGGCGUGCCUAAUACAUGCAGGUUGAGCGCUGAAGGUUGGUACUUGUUCCAACUGGUUGAGCAGCGAACGGGUGAGUAACGCGUGGGGAAUCUGCCUUUGAGCGGGGGACAACAUUUGGAAACGAAUGCUAAUACCGCAUAAAAACUUUAAACACAAGUUUUAAGUUUGAAAGAUGCAAUUGCAUCACUCAAAGAUGAUCCCGCGUUGUAUUAGCUAGUUGGUGAGGUAAAGGCUCACCAAGGCGAUGAUACAUAGCCGACCUGAGAGGGUGGUCGGCCACAUUGGGACGGAGACACAGCCCGAACUGCUACGGGCGGCAGCAGUAGGGAAUCUUCGGCAAAGGACGAAAGUCUGACCGAGCAACGCCGCGUGAGUGAAGGAGGUUUUCGGAUCGUAAAACUAUGUUGGUAGAGAAGAACGUUGGUGAGAGUGGAAAGCUCAUCAAGUGACGGUAACUACACAGAAAGGGACGGCUAACUACGUG
Molecule: ribosomal RNA, 497 nt
Filed under: uncultured bacterium
Lineage: Bacteria
Description: partial 16S ribosomal RNA
Rfam family: Bacterial small subunit ribosomal RNA
Source: RNAcentral